Molecule: ribosomal RNA, 253 nt
Filed under: uncultured bacterium
Lineage: Bacteria
Description: partial 16S ribosomal RNA
Rfam family: Bacterial small subunit ribosomal RNA
Source: RNAcentral
UACGUAGGGUACAAGCGUUGUCCGGAAUUAUUGGGCGUAAAGAGCUCGUAGGUGGUCUGUCACGUCUGCUGUGGAAACGCAAGGCUCAACCUUGCGCGUGCAGUGGGUACGGGCGGACUAGAGUGCAGUAGGGGAGUCUGGAAUUCCUGGUGUAGCAGUGAAAUGCGCAGAUAUCAGGAGGAACACCGGUGGUGAAGGCGGGACUCUGGGCUGUAACUGACGCUGAGGAGCGAAAGCAUGGGGAGCGAACAGG